GUGACCGUGGCCGAGUGGUUAGGCACAGGAUUGUGGAUCCUGCUUACAUCGGUUCGAAACCGAUCGGUCACCCCA
Molecule: transfer RNA, 75 nt
Filed under: Chloroflexota bacterium
Lineage: Bacteria; Bacillati; Chloroflexota
Description: tRNA-His
Rfam family: tRNA
About the family: Transfer RNA (tRNA) molecules are approximately 80 nucleotides in length. Their secondary structure includes four short double-helical elements and three loops (D, anti-codon, and T loops).
Source: RNAcentral